Molecule: unclassified non-coding RNA, 889 nt
Filed under: Hevea brasiliensis (rubber tree)
Lineage: Eukaryota; Viridiplantae; Streptophyta; Magnoliopsida; Malpighiales; Euphorbiaceae
Source: RNAcentral
AAGUUAUAAAUUUCUCAAUCAUUCCAGGUCCUGGUGGCUAGUCAAUUUUGUGGGGCAAACAUCUUGUGGUACGUUGAUUUGAGCUGUUAGAUUCUCUGUUGACAAGAUGUGGCAUGCUGAUUGUUUAGGCUAUGGUGUGAUGCAUUGGAGUAGAUAUGUCAUUCCAAAAGUUUAGAGCACCAGAGGCAUUUUUAAUAACCGAAGCGUUGGUAUAUUUUGGAAUGAAGAAAAUGACUUUAAUCAUGUUAAUAUCAAUUUCUUUUAAUAGAAAAGAGGAUAAGCAACAUGCAAAUGGUCAUUGCUUGUCUACUGUGAUGCAUUUUUUAAUACUUACUAGUAUGUGUUAAAAUGGUUGAGGCUUUACUAUAGUUACCACUACACAUGAAUUUCUUCAUUCCAAUGGCAAUAGGAGUGGACAUUUAGAUUGUGUUCAUCACAUUUGGAUGGGGAAAUGAUUUUGUUUGCUUCGAUGGAUACCCUGUACGGUUCGAGGAUGUGUGAAUUCGCUUCAUUUGGGGAAUAGACUUAAAUUUUGUUUGUAAUAGAGAAAAUAUAUUCUCAUCAGUGAGUGGGUUAUUGAUUAGAGUGCAUUUACUAGUAGGUUGCGGGAGUUCAUGUUAGACAACUGGGAAGGAUGUCGUGCUGCUGCUGCUGCUUCAGGUUUUUCAAGGGUUAGCAGUGAGUGCGGGCUUCUUCCUGGGUGUGAAAUAGUUUUUUAAUGGCGUUAUAAUUUAAUUUUACAAUGUUGAAUACAUAUUAUAUUAAUUUAUUAGUCAUUAAUUAUGUAUUGAUAAUCAAAUAAUGCAAUUAGCUCCUGAUACGGAUCGAUGCAAGCAAUAAACUUUUUAAAAUUUAUUUUCAAUUAAAUUAUUUGUUUCACAUGGCAUUU